RNAcentral lists this ribosomal RNA (345 nucleotides) under uncultured bacterium. RNAcentral describes it as "bacterial SSU rRNA". It matches the Rfam family "Bacterial small subunit ribosomal RNA", at positions 917 to 1264 of the family's 1533-position model. The record is from RNAcentral.
GGGCCCGUACAAGCGGUGGAGUAUGUGGUUUAAUUCGAUGCAACGCGAAGAACCUUACCAGGGUUUGACAUCCUGCGAAUCUCUUGGAAACAGGAGAGUGCCUUCGGGAACGCAGUGACAGGUGGUGCAUGGCUGUCGUCAGCUCGUGUCGUGAGAUGUUGGUUAAGUCCCGCAACGAGCGCAACCCACGUCUUUAGUUGCCAGCAUUUAGUUGGGCACUCUAGAGAGACCGCCGGUGAUAAACCGGAGGAAGGUGUGGAUGACGUCAAGUCAUCAUGCCCCUUACAUCCUGGGCUACACACGUACUACAAUGCUACGGACAAAGGGCAGCAAACUCGCGAGAGC